AGGCCAACCAAUUAAUCUUCUUGUCUGAAUGUGCUUCUGCAGAAAUUUAGAAAUAUCUGGCAAUACUGAUGCCAUUUCAUGAGCCUAAAGGGCAACAGGUCAUUAUAGUCCUUGAAAAUGGCUACAAUA
This is a small nucleolar RNA of Jaculus jaculus (lesser Egyptian jerboa), 129 nucleotides long. NCBI's taxonomy places the organism in Eukaryota, Metazoa, Chordata, Mammalia, Rodentia, Dipodidae. The record is from Ensembl.